This 432-nucleotide ribosomal RNA is filed under the name uncultured bacterium. RNAcentral's name for it is "partial 16S ribosomal RNA". It matches the Rfam family "Bacterial small subunit ribosomal RNA", at positions 29 to 507 of the family's 1533-position model. The record is from RNAcentral.
ACGAACGCUGGCGGCAUGCCUAACACAUGCCAGUCGCACGAACCCUUCGGGGUUAGUGGCGCACGGGUGCGUAACGCGUGGGAAUCUGCCCUUUGCUUCGGAAUAACUCAGGGAAACUUGUGCUAAUACCGGAUGAUGUCUUCGGACCAAAGAUUUAUCGGCAAGGGAUGAGCCCGCGUAGGAUUAGGUAGUUGGUGGGGUAAAGGCCUACCAAGCCGACGAUCCUUAGCUGGUCUGAGAGGAUGAUCAGCCACACUGGGACUGAGACACGGCCCAGACUCCUACGGGAGGCAGCAGUGGGGAAUAUUGGACAAUGGGCGCAAGCCUGAUCCAGCAAUGCCGCGUGAGUGAUGAAGGCCCUCGGGUCGUAAAGCUCUUUUACCAGGGAUGAUAAUGACAGUACCUGGAGAAUAAGCUCCGGCUAACUCCGUG